RNAcentral lists this non-coding RNA (30 nucleotides) under Homo sapiens (human). Lineage: Eukaryota; Metazoa; Chordata; Mammalia; Primates; Hominidae. The record is from RNAcentral.
UAGACCUUGAGGGCUUCCUGAACCUGCCUU